This is a non-coding RNA of Ictidomys tridecemlineatus (thirteen-lined ground squirrel), 783 nucleotides long. NCBI's taxonomy places the organism in Eukaryota, Metazoa, Chordata, Mammalia, Rodentia, Sciuridae. The record is from RefSeq and is a predicted model, not a curated record.
UGCACCAUCUGCUUCCUUAGGUGUGGCAGGAGACUAACACUAUUUUCCUAAAUGCAUUUCCAAAAUUAAACACUUUCUCUCUUGGGGGGUUUCUCUCCACAAAGGAAUCUUUAUUGAAAUGGUUGCCUUUGUCAUUCUUAACUAGCAGGGCAUUCCUUCACAUCACUAUCAUUGAUGUCAUCGAUGAUGUCAUGAAGCAGGGAGCAUGGCAGCCUUGAGACUCCAUCCCCAGGAUCUCUUUAAUGCCUCCCAAGAAAGAGUUCUCUAACUAAAGAUGGGUGCUGCAUCCGUUGGCAAUGUUGACAUUAUCAAAAAUGCUAUUUCUACUGUGUUUAAUGUUUUCCUGCUUCUUUUUGUCUCUGUCCGGUUCCUUGAGGACUUGGAUGAUGAAGGGAGAGACAGAAAGUGUCACCUUAAUGUGAACUUGUCUGUUCUGAAUGGUCCACUGUCAUCCUUAGACUGCUCCAGUCACUGGUUGCCAAGGCAAUGCCAUCACCCAACCCAUCACCCGGGGUCUAAGGGCAGAUAUGGUGCUGACUUCCCUGUUGGUGCACCUCAGAUGAGAACCAGACCCUGCACAGUAGAACAUCUUUCAAGGUCUUGAUUAUCUGGAUAUUGGGGGCUGGCAUCCCAGACUGUUGUCACUUAACACUACACUGCCCACCACUUCCCUGGGUAGAAUGAAUGUAAGCCACAAAACAAGCCUGAAACCAACCAAAGGAAGCAAAAAAAAAAAUUAUGAAUGGAUUGUGAAAUGUGAGUUCAUUGAGAAAAGCAACUGUU